GCGAGUGGCGGACGGGUGAGUAACACGUAGGUAACCUGCCCCAAAGCGGGGGAUAACAUUUGGAAACAGAUGCUAAUACCGCAUAACAAUUUGAAUCGCAUGAUUCAAAUUUAAAAGAUGGCUUCGGCUAUCACUUUGGGAUGGACCUGCGGCGCAUUAGCUUGUUGGUAGGGUAACGGCCUACCAAGGCUGUGAUGCGUAGCCGAGUUGAGAGACUGAUCGGCCACAAUGGAACUGAGACACGGUCCAUACUCCUACGGGAGGCAGCAGUAGGGAAUCUUCCACAAUGGGCGCAAGCCUGAUGGAGCAACACCGCGUGAGUGAAGAAGGGUUUCGGCUCGUAAAGCUCUGUUGUUAGAGAAGAACGUGCGUGAGAGUAACUGUUCACGCAGUGACGGUAUCUAACCAGAAAGUCACGGCUAACUACGUGCCAGCAGCCGCGGUAAUACGUAGGUGGCAAGCGUUAUCCGGAUUUAUUGGGCGUAAAGCGAGCGCAGGCGGUUUGAUAAGUCUGAUGUGAAAGCCUUUGGCUUAACCAAAGAAGUGCAUCGGAAACUGUCAGACUUGAGUGCAGAAGAGGACAGUGGAACUCCAUGUGUAGCGGUGGAAUGCGUAGAUAUAUGGAAGAACACCAGUGGCGAAGGCGGCUGUCUGGUCUGCAACUGACGCUGAGGCUCGAAAGCAUGGGUAGCGAACAGGAUUAGAUACCCUGGUAGUCCAUGCCGUAAACGAUGAGUGCUAGGUGUUGGAGGGUUUCCGCCCUUCAGUGCCGCAGCUAACGCAUUAAGCACUCCGCCUGGGGAGUACGACCGCAAGGUUGAAACUCAAAGGAAUUGACGGGGGCCCGCACAAGCGGUGGAGCAUGUGGUUUAAUUCGAAGCUACGCGAAGAACCUUACCAGGUCUUGACAUCUUGCGCCAACCCUAGAGAUAGGGCGUUUCCUUCGGGAACGCAAUGACAGGUGGUGCAUGGUCGUCGUCAGCUCGUGUCGUGAGAUGUUGGGUUAAGUCCCGCAACGAGCGCAACCCUUGUUACUAGUUGCCAGCAUUCAGUUGGGCACUCUAGUGAGACUGCCGGUGACAAACCGGAGGAAGGUGGGGACGACGUCAGAUCAUCAUGCCCCUUAUGACCUGGGCUACACACGUGCUACAAUGGACGGUACAACGAGUCGCGAACUCGCGAGGGCAAGCUAAUCUCUUAAAACCGUUCUCAGUUCGGACUGCAGGCUGCAACUCGCCUGCACGAAGUCGGAAUCGCUAGUAAUCGCGGAUCAGCAUGCCGCGGUGAAUACGUUCCCGGGCCUUGUACACACCGCCC
RNAcentral lists this ribosomal RNA (1317 nucleotides) under Limosilactobacillus mucosae. RNAcentral describes it as "bacterial SSU rRNA". It matches the Rfam family "Bacterial small subunit ribosomal RNA", at positions 91 to 1395 of the family's 1533-position model. Lineage: Bacteria; Bacillati; Bacillota; Bacilli; Lactobacillales; Lactobacillaceae. The record is from RNAcentral.